RNAcentral lists this long non-coding RNA (1155 nucleotides) under Lynx pardinus (Iberian lynx). Lineage: Eukaryota; Metazoa; Chordata; Mammalia; Carnivora; Felidae. The record is from RNAcentral.
GAGGGAAACAAGGCAUACAGAAUUCAUAGAAUGGCUUAGGGCCUUUCCUCCAGGCGGUAAGAGGAUCUGCGUGUGCCCUUCGCAGGGGUCCAAAGAAAAAUAAUAACUGGGGGCUUGGGGAAUACUGACACCCAGAAACUGACUUUCUCUCCAAGAAGUUUCUGCCGCCAUCCCUAUUUUAUCAGCAGGAGGAUCCGGCGCCAUCGUCCCAGUCUUUAUGAUUUUAUUAUGGGGAGGUGGGAAACGCCACCCAGGAUUCCUCCAGGCCUUCCCUCUUAAGGUUGGAGGGGGGGGGGGGGGGCUCCCCCUCAUUCUUUUUCUUUAAACCUCUGUCUUGAAGGUACUCCUCAGCACCCCUCUUUACAGCGGCCUAUCCCCCAGGAUCGGUAAAGGCGCUGUCGAAGCCACCAUCCUCGCCGUUAAGGCGGGAGGGCCCGAGCACGCCAGGGCCACGGCGAUGGCUCUGAGGGGCCCAGAAAGGGGAAGGGCAGGCCAGGGACUAAGGGAGAAUGACCUGACUAAGGAAGAAUGGAAAAAGGAGGUGAGAAGAUGCACUGCACCCCAGGGCUGCACAGAGAAGAGAAGAUGAUGAAGAAGGAGGAGGGCGGUGGCCCGGGUGCGGCCCCCCACCUCUCCCGCCCCCAGGUCCCCGGACCGGCGGGGGCGGAUGGGAUCGGCCCAUUCCCCGGGUCUUAGCUGACAAGGGGGGGUGGUAGGGGGGUGGGGGUGUCUCCCUCCACACUGCGAAGAGACCGAGAACAAGGCAUGGGGUACGCGGGGGGGCUGUCUCCCGCCUGAACCCGGAGACCCGACGCCGUCGUCGCCUCUUCCUCAGAAGGGAGGACGGGAGCUAUGGGUAAAGCCCGAGGGAGAAAUGCAUGAAGGUAAGGGGAAGCCCAGGGCGGAACGGCGGUCCGCUCCAGACCCCACUCUCCACCUUCCGGUAACCGCGUCUCUUACCGGUGAUGGCGGUGAACUGCUGAAUUAACCCCUUCAGCGCCGAGGACGCCGCGGAGCCCCCGUGGGCAGCCAUCUUACCGCCGCCGCCGCUGCCGCCGAACAACAACACAGACACACACGGACCUCCCUCCCCCACCUCGCCGCGCGGUUUGCGCAGGCUCAUUGACCGCCCCCAAACUCCGCCCCUCCCGCCCC